AGGGAAUCUUCGGCAAUGGGGGCAACCCUGACCGAGCAACGCCGCGUGAGUGAAGAAGGUUUUCGGAUCGUAAAGCUCUGUUGUAAGUCAAGAACGAGUGUGAGAGUGGAAAGUUCACACUGUGACGGUAGCUUACCAGAAAGGGACGGCUAACUACGUGCCGGCAGCCGCGGUAAUACGUAGGUCCCGAGCGUUGUCCGGAUUUAUUGGGCGUAAAGCGAGCGCAGGCGGUUUGAUAAGUCUGAAGUUAAAGGCUGUGGCUCAACCAUAGUUCGCUUUGGAAACUGUCAAACUUGAGUGCAGAAGGGGAGAGUGGAAUUCCAUGUGUAGCGGUGAAAUGCGUAGAUAUAUGGAGGAACACCGGUGGCGAAAGCGGCUCUCUGGUCUGUAACUGACGCUGAGGCUCGAAAGCGUGGGGAGCGAACAGGAUUAGAUACCCUGGUAGUCCACGCCGUAAACGAUGAGUGCUAGGUGUUGGAUCCUUUCCGGGAUUCAGUGCCGCAGCUAACGCAUUAAGCACUCCGCCUGGGGAGUACGACCGCAAGGUUG
This 549-nucleotide ribosomal RNA is filed under the name uncultured bacterium. RNAcentral's name for it is "bacterial SSU rRNA". It matches the Rfam family "Bacterial small subunit ribosomal RNA", at positions 356 to 896 of the family's 1533-position model. The record is from RNAcentral.